GACGAACGCUGGCGGCGUGCUUAACACAUGCAAGUCGAACGGAAAGGCCCUGCUUUUGUGGGGUGCUCGAGUGGCGAACGGGUGAGUAACACGUGAGUAACCUGCCCUUGACUUUGGGAUAACUUCAGGAAACUGGGGCUAAUACCGGAUAGGAGCUCCUGCUGCAUGGUGGGGGUUGGAAAGUUUCGGCGGUUGGGGAUGGACUCGCGGCUUAUCAGCUUGUUGGUGGGGUAGUGGCUUACCAAGGCUUUGACGGGUAGCCGGCCUGAGAGGGUGACCGGCCACAUUGGGACUGAGAUACGGCCCAGACUCCUACGGGAGGCAGCAGUGGGGAAUAUUGCACAAUGGGCGGAAGCCUGAUGCAGCAACGCCGCGUGCGGGAUGACGGCCUUCGGGUUGUAAACCGCUUUCGCCUGUGACGAAGCGUGAGUGACGGUAAUGGGUAAAGAAGCACCGGCUAACUACGUGCCAGCAGCCGCGGUGAUACGUAGGGUGCGAGCGUUGUCCGGAUUUAUUGGGCGUAAAGGGCUCGUAGGUGGUUGAUCGCGUCGGAAGUGUAAUCUUGGGGCUUAACCCUGAGCGUGCUUUCGAUACGGGUUGACUUGAGGAAGGUAGGGGAGAAUGGAAUUCCUGGUGGAGCGGUGGAAUGCGCAGAUAUCAGGAGGAACACCAGUGGCGAAGGCGGUUCUCUGGGCCUUUCCUGACGCUGAGGAGCGAAAGCGUGGGGAGCGAACAGGCUUAGAUACCCUGGUAGUCCACGCUGUAAACGGUGGGUACUAGGUGUGGGGUCCAUUCCACGGGUUCCGUGCCGUAGCUAACGCUUUAAGUACCCCGCCUGGGGAGUACGGCCGCAAGGCUAAAACUCAAAGGAAUUGACGGGGCCCCGCACAAGCGGCGGAGCAUGCGGAUUAAUUCGAUGCAACGCGUAGAACCUUACCUGGGUUUGACAUGGAUCGGGAGCGCUCAGAGAUGGGUGUGCCUCUUUUGGGGUCGGUUCACAGGUGGUGCAUGGCUGUCGUCAGCUCGUGCCGUGAGAUGUUGGGUUAAGUCCCGCAACGAGCGCAACCCUUGUUCACUGUUGCCAGCACGUUAUGGUGGGGACUCAGUGGAGACCGCCGGGGUCAACUCGGAGGAAGGUGGGGAUGACGUCAAGUCAUCAUGCCCCUUAUGUCCAGGGCUUCACGCAUGCUACAAUGGCUGGUACAGAGAGUGGCGAGCCUGUGAGGGUGAGCGAAUCUCGGAAAGCCGGUCUCAGUUCGGAUUGGGGUCAGCAACUCGACCUCAUGAAGUCGGAGUCGCUAGUAAUCGCAGAUCAGCAACGCUGCGGUGAAUACGUUCCCGGGUCU
RNAcentral lists this ribosomal RNA (1346 nucleotides) under uncultured bacterium. Its description in RNAcentral is "bacterial SSU rRNA". It matches the Rfam family "Bacterial small subunit ribosomal RNA", at positions 28 to 1381 of the family's 1533-position model. The record is from RNAcentral.